UGCCCCCGUCCCGCCCUCCGCCGCCGCCGCCUCAGCCCGCUCCGGCCCGGGCGCUGCCCUGUCAUGGCGGGGGGGGGGGGUGACGGUGACGGUGGCGAUGGUGGUGGUGGGGCUCGUCCCCCACCGACCGCCGCUGCCGGAGGAGCCGCGCCGCGGCUUUGGCCUCUCGGGAGCCUCUCCUUUCGGCAACGCGAAGGAAAAUGUCCGCCCCCGCGCCGCCCCCAGCCACUCGCAGGUGGUCAGCUCUUCUGGUAAGUGCAUGGCAAUUCCCCCCUUGCAGAAGUAACAUCAGGUGAUGGCAGCUGUCAGCUCCUCUCCUGUCGCUGGAUAAAGGUUUCGUGCUUUGCCCGUUUGUCAGUCCUUGGGUGACUCGGGCCAUCGACAGAGUGCCAGUACAGGUUGCUGCGUUGGAGGGAUGGAGAGCAGGGUCUGUGCUUGUCCCUUGUCCCCACAAAGGUAGGAAGGAAGGAAAAACCAAAGGUAUUCAACUCUUCUUGAGGAAAAGCAGCAACAACCCUCAUGUGCCGAUGACGUCAGUGACAACAGGAUGGCAGUGGAGAUUCCUGAAGGCCACCACCUCGCAUUUAAACAGCAGAAAAGUGAAGACAUGAGGGAAAUUAAGACGGUCUUGAGAAGAGCUUUAUUUUGGACAGCAAAGGUUCAUCUCACAGACUUCUCAGAAACAGGUCUGCCAACCAUCAGGUAUGUAAUAGCCAAAACCAGUUACUGGUAAGAGGCAGCGGGAUGAAACCAAGAUGUACAGAGGGCAACCAAGCCUCAUGUGCCAUGUUAACUCUUAAAACAGUGGGAUAGAAGUAGGGUCUCCCCGCUGUGACAGCAGAACGCUUGCCCCUCCGCGCAACAAGCACGGUGGGAGGGACACCUAGGCUGUAACCCCUCUUCAGACAGGGCCGGUUUGCUGAAGCUCCGCAGGCUCGAUAGUCACGUGAAAUCCUGUAAGCCAUCACCUCCACGCCACGCCACUGUUUCAAAAGGCAUUUAUUCAUUUCUAACAACUCCCCAGCACAUUCUGCUCUUCACGUGUCAGGACUUUGGGUCUGCACCAUCAUUCCUACACCAAGAUUAGUGUUCUGAGAGUCUUAAUCCCCACUAAAACCAACUGGAAGAGUGACAGUUUGCCAGGGCAGGGAUGGCACUAACCAAGGUUUCUGUCAUUUGAAGUUGCCGUUACCUUGACCGAAUUCACCACCACACAAGCUGGCUUUGCACCGGAGGAACAGACGCAGAUCGUGGCCCUUUGCACUGAAGGGACAUCUGCACACGUGCAUGUGGAGAAACUUUCGAGAACCAAAGUGGCUCUAUAGAGAAGGACAGGCGAGUGACCAGAUCAUGGUGAUGGACGUGUGUUUGCAAAACUGCUGCACUUACCAGAGACCUGAAAGCCACAAAUACAGCCCCAGGCACUCCAAGGGGAUGCAUCGGUGACAGCGGGACCGGUGCUUUCUCUCCCCCUACCGCUUCGCCAAGGAAAACAGCGUGGUGGAAAUAACAGAUGACCCCGAUGACUCUCACUGUAAGAAGAGUCAAGUCCUCCCCUUGGCAUGAAAGGCAGAGAGGAGCAGCUACCAGGGAAGUGCUGGAGACACGACUGCAUGGGAGUCAAGGGUAAUGAGGAAGGCACAGAGAAGAUCAAAUAUCCCUAGCUCUAGAUGAUGAAGUAUUUUAAAAGUACCCAUUGAUACUGCUCACCUUUAUAUCUUGCACAAAUAUAGAUGCUCUAUAAAUUGUAUCCUGUCCCCAAAUUCCUCCUAACUUCCUGGCCCGGCAUUACCUCCAAGCAAUUUUAGUUCCUUCUAUGAAAAAGCAGCAAUGCAGCCCCGUCACUGUGAACUUCCCCUGUUUUACACACUAAACUCAUUACCCUGCAUCGCUUCGAUACAGUAUUAUCUGAAUGUAUACAUUAAAAUCCCUGAACCGACUGGAUCCUGUGUAGUCUAUCGCAGGAAUACAUAUCUGAGCUCUGGGUAACAUUGCCAUAUGCAGUGGAGGGAACCUUCCAUAUGGUUUCUGGAAAGUGGUUACAGCACACGUGCACCAGGCACUUUUCAAAGUAAAACAGAUCUGUUCAUUUUUAUUUUCAAAAUACCAAAGCAGUAAAAUCAUGUAAUUGAGUAAUCACUUGCCAAAUUUCCUUUUUUAAUCUAAUCUAUUUUGAGUUACAUCAGAGCCAAAAUGCAAAUUAAACUGGUAAGGUUCCAAGAUUUUUUUUCCCUUUUAGAAAACACAAUUUAAGGUCCUCAUAAGUAAGGAAAUUUAAAAACCAUUUGUUUUGUAUGCUGUAAACUCCAGAAAACAAGUUUCAGCCUGAAGUACAUUUUCAUAGGCAAUAGGUUAAAUAGAAGUCUUAUGUAAAUUUUGAUCUCUUCUUAACAACUCCAAUGUUCAUUUUAUAAAAUUUGAUUUGAAAAUAAUGCCAUUGUUUUAAAAGAGCCUCAAAGGGUCAGAAACUAGGCAAAAAAAGUAUCCACUCUAACGAGGCACACGUACAGUCUUUCAGCUCUAACUACAGUAUCAAAAAAGGAGAGAUUCCUGAGAUUGCUCAUUUGCAGUCUCCAUCAAUCAAUUUUUGAGGGGCGUGCUCUUGCAGCAGCAUUAAAAGCCAAACUCACUUGCCAGCCUGGGCAAACUCAUCAGCACUUGACCACAAGGUGAGACAAGUCAUGGCCAUCCUACCAUAGCCUCACGAAGUCACCCAUCUCAGCAGAUUACCA
Molecule: long non-coding RNA, 2732 nt
Organism: Aquila chrysaetos chrysaetos
Lineage: Eukaryota; Metazoa; Chordata; Aves; Accipitriformes; Accipitridae
Exons: 3
Source: RefSeq, a predicted model, not a curated record